This 520-nucleotide unclassified non-coding RNA is filed under the name uncultured Glomus. RNAcentral's name for it is "SSU rRNA". It matches the Rfam family "Eukaryotic small subunit ribosomal RNA", at positions 569 to 1092 of the family's 1831-position model. Lineage: Eukaryota; Fungi; Glomeromycota; Glomeromycetes; Glomerales; Glomeraceae. The record is from RNAcentral.
AGCAGCCGCGGUAAUUCCAGCUCCAAUAGCGUAUAUUAAAGUUGUUGCAGUUAAAAAGCUCGUAGUUGAAUUUCGGGAUCAAUAUGUUGGUCGUGCCUUGGUACGUACUGGCAUUAUUGGUUUCUACCUUCUGAAGAACCUCGAUGUCAUUAAUUUGGUGUCUUGGGGAAUCAGGACUGUUACUUUGAAAAAUUAGAGUGUUUAAAGCAGGCUCGCGCUUGAAUACAUUAGCAUGGAAUAAUGAAAUAGGACGUUUGAUUCUAUUUUGUUGGUUUCUAGGAUUGACGUAAUGAUUAAUAGGGAUAGUUGGGGGGCAUUAGUAUUCAAUUGUCAGAGGUGAAAUUCUUGGAUUUAUUGAAGACUAACUACUGCGAAAGCAUUUGCCAAGGAUGUUUUCAUUAAUCAAGAACGAAAGUUAGGGGAUCGAAGACGAUCAGAUACCGUCGUAGUCUUAACCAUAAACUAUGCCGACUAGGGAUCGGAUGAUGUUAAUUUUUAAUGACUCAUUCGGCGCCUUAAC